UACGGAGGGUGUAAGCGUUAUCCGGAUUCACUGGGGUUAAAGGGUGCGUAGGAGGGCAGGUAAGUCAGUGGUGAAAUCCCCGAGCUUAACUUGGGAACUGCCGUUGAUACUAUCUGUCUUGAAUACCGUGGAGGUGAGCGGAAUAUGUCAUGUAGCGGUGAAAUGCUUAGAUAUGACAUAGAACACCAAUUGCGAAGGCAGCUCGCUACACGAAUAUUGACUCUGAGGCACGAAAGCGUGGGGAUCAAACAGG
RNAcentral lists this ribosomal RNA (253 nucleotides) under uncultured bacterium. RNAcentral's name for it is "partial 16S ribosomal RNA". It matches the Rfam family "Bacterial small subunit ribosomal RNA", at positions 524 to 776 of the family's 1533-position model. The record is from RNAcentral.